RNAcentral lists this ribosomal RNA (116 nucleotides) under bacterium. RNAcentral also lists the same sequence under 4 other names. The record is from RNAcentral.
CCUGAUGACAAUAGCAGUUUGGUACCACCUGAUCCCAUCUCGAACUCAGAAGUGAAACGGACUUACGCCAAUGGUAGUGCAAGGUCUCCUUGUGUGAGAGUAGGUAAUCGUCAGGC